Molecule: long non-coding RNA, 1022 nt
Organism: Macadamia integrifolia
Lineage: Eukaryota; Viridiplantae; Streptophyta; Magnoliopsida; Proteales; Proteaceae
Exons: 2
Source: RefSeq, a predicted model, not a curated record
GUUCUAUAAAUGCCAGCUGUUUGCUCAACCUUCACUAGAAUGAAUGACCUCUGUUAUUUAUGUGAUCGUUUUCUUACGGUUUUUGCUUAAUGCAAUGUCUUUGGGUAAGUAGUGCAGUCUCCAAAAAAAAUUGUUUACUUCUGGAAAAUCUGAUACUCCUUGGAAGAUCGUAAUGUGAGCUUGUUGUUGCUCUUUUGUUGAUCGUAGUGUGAGUUCAUUUUGGUUGCUUUUGUUUUCCUCUUUGAUCCUGCCUGGUGACUAUUGGUGGCAUCUUUGCCUGGUAUAUGCAUGUCAAUUUAUGCUUGGCAAAUAACAUUUGAAACAAAGUUGAGAUGGCUGGCAUCUGUUGAAUCUUCCGUUGACAAAUAUUGUACAUUUUUACACGGGUUAAAUUUAUGAUGAAGCAACUUGCUUAGUGAUAAACAUUGAACAACAAGUGUAAGAUAAAAUGCCUCUGUAAAUAGCGACAGAAACAUCAAAGCCUGAUGGAAAAUUAAGAGAACUAUAGCAAAGGAAGAAAGUCAAACAGAGAGUGCAACUUACAACUUCCUGAGGUACCUUGUGCUGAUGAUAACUCUGGAGAAGCUUGAAUGAAGCCAUCAGAAGUGAGGACAAUUUAAGGAACAAUAGGAAUAAAACAGUAGAAAAGGAACUACGAAGAAAUUGAAGAGAAAAUAUCAUGUCAGAAUACUGGUCAGAUGCAAAAGAGAGAACGAGAAAGGAAGAUGAAAUGAAAGGAGGGAGAAGAAAAAGAUGAAAGUAGUUGAGUUUGUGCUAGUUGCUCUUUAAGAUUAGUAAUGGAGAAGAAGUACAUGGAUAAAAACCCCUACUGCAACACCUUUUAAGGACAAAAUGUAAGAUGCAUGUUACAGAGCUGGACGAACAUAUGGCUUCAAAUAUGAACAAGUCUACAAUUGUUGGAUUUCAGUUGGAAAAGUGCCAAUAUUUUAUUUGUGUUUGAUCACGUUUGCAUUAUCCAAAUUAUUGUGAUAAAAAAAAAAGGAACAAAAGUAGAUUUUUUA